RNAcentral lists this ribosomal RNA (483 nucleotides) under uncultured bacterium. Its description in RNAcentral is "partial 16S ribosomal RNA". It matches the Rfam family "Bacterial small subunit ribosomal RNA", at positions 30 to 507 of the family's 1533-position model. The record is from RNAcentral.
AUUGAACGCUGGCGGCAUGCCUAACACAUGCAAGUCGAACGGCAGCGCGGGGGCAUCCCUGGCGCGAGUGGCGGACGGGUGAGGAAUGCAUAGGAAUCUGCCCGGUUGUGGGGGAUAACGUAGGGAAACUUACGCUAAUACCGCAUACGACCUUCGGGUGAAAGUGGGGGACCUUCGGGCCUCACGCGAUCGGAUGAGCCUAUGCCCGAUUAGCUAGUUGGCGGGGUAAGAGCCCACCAAGGCGACGAUCGGUAGCUGGUCUGAGAGGAUGAUCAGCCACACUGGGACUGAGACACGGCCCAGACUCCUACGGGAGGCAGCAGUGGGGAAUAUUGGACAAUGGGCGCAAGCCUGAUCCAGCAAUGCCGCGUGUGUGAAGAAGGCCUUCGGGUUGUAAAACACUUUUGUUCGGGAAGAAAUCCGUGUGGUUAAUACCCGUACGGGAUGACGGUACCGAAAGAAAAAGCACCGGCUAACUUCGUG